GGGAGAGUUCCCGAGUGGCCAAAGGGGACAGACUGUAAAUCUGCUGGCAAUGCCUUCAGUGGUUCGAAUCCACUCUCUCCCA
This 82-nucleotide transfer RNA is filed under the name Eubacterium sp. Its description in RNAcentral is "tRNA-Tyr". It matches the Rfam family "tRNA". From Rfam's summary of the family: Transfer RNA (tRNA) molecules are approximately 80 nucleotides in length. Their secondary structure includes four short double-helical elements and three loops (D, anti-codon, and T loops). Further hydrogen bonds mediate the characteristic L-shaped molecular structure. tRNAs have two regions of fundamental functional importance: the anti-codon, which is responsible for specific mRNA codon recognition, and the 3' end, to which the tRNAs corresponding amino acid is attached (by aminoacyl-tRNA synthetases). tRNAs cope with the degeneracy of the genetic code in two manners: having more than one tRNA (with a specific anti-codon) for a particular amino acid; and 'wobble' base-pairing, i.e. permitting non-standard base-pairing at the 3rd anti-codon position. Lineage: Bacteria; Bacillati; Bacillota; Clostridia; Eubacteriales; Eubacteriaceae. RNAcentral also lists the same sequence under 7 other names. The record is from RNAcentral.